CACUGGGUCGGGUGACGUCACGUCCCGAACCUGGUCAGGACCGGGAGGUAGCAGCCAUAAGGGGCCUCUGGCGGGCACCCGGCUCAGUGGAA
RNAcentral lists this signal recognition particle RNA (92 nucleotides) under Olsenella sp. KGMB02461. RNAcentral's name for it is "signal recognition particle sRNA small type". It matches the Rfam family "Bacterial small signal recognition particle RNA". From Rfam's summary of the family: The signal recognition particle (SRP) is a universally conserved ribonucleoprotein involved in the co-translational targeting of proteins to membranes. Archaeal SRP consists of a 7S RNA and homologues of the eukaryotic SRP19 and SRP54 proteins. In most bacteria, the SRP consists of a 4.5S RNA and the Ffh protein (a homologue of the eukaryotic SRP54 protein). Lineage: Bacteria; Bacillati; Actinomycetota; Coriobacteriia; Coriobacteriales; Atopobiaceae. The record is from RNAcentral.